GUAGGUGGCAAGCGUUGUCCGGGAAUUAUUGGGGCGUAAAGCGCGCGCAGGCGGUUCUUUAAGUCUGAUGUGGAAGCCCACGGGCUCAACCGUGGAGGGUCAUUGGAAACUGGAGAACUUGAGUACAGAAGAGGAAAGCGGAAUUCCACGUGUAGCGGUGAAAUGCGUAGAGAUGUGGAGGAACACCAGUGGCGAAGGCGGCUUUCUGGUCUGUAACUGACGCUGAGGCGCGAAAGCGUGGGGAGCAAACAGGAUUAGAUACCCUGGUAGUCCACGCCGUAAACGAUGAGUGCUAAGUGUUAGGGGGUUUCCGCCCCUUAGUGCUGCAGCUAACGCAUUAAGCACUCCGCCUGGGGAGUACGGCCGCAAAGGCUGA
This 376-nucleotide ribosomal RNA is filed under the name uncultured organism. Its description in RNAcentral is "partial 16S ribosomal RNA". It matches the Rfam family "Bacterial small subunit ribosomal RNA", at positions 527 to 897 of the family's 1533-position model. The record is from RNAcentral.